Molecule: long non-coding RNA, 1625 nt
Filed under: Homo sapiens (human)
Lineage: Eukaryota; Metazoa; Chordata; Mammalia; Primates; Hominidae
Description: non-protein coding lnc-CADM2-8:2
Source: RNAcentral
GCUGUUCAAAAUGGCCCAGAAAACUGGUCGGUUACAAACUUCGCUGCAGGUCCCUGAAACAAAACUGGAUGAAGUUCUCCUCUUCUCUUGUUCUAUAUCCUUGGGAGAUGACCUUUUAACCACAUGGCAGUACUUUCUCUUGGUCUCUGCUGUCACAAUGGCUGCUCAGGUUCAGGGUUCAAUUCCUGGCUUAGGAAAUGAGUCCUUUCUGGUUUGAUAUCAGUGUGACAUUUGCCAUUUUUUAAUUCUCUUCCCCUCUAGGAACCAUCUUUGGAGUAAUCUGCCUUGCAACCGGAAUUUGGCUCAAAACAGGUUUUUCUUAGAGCACUAAUCGACACUUUAACAAAAAAUUGUAAAGGUUAUAAAAAUUGUAAGGGUUAAAAAAGGUUUAUGAGUAUCUCACCUUAUGGUCAAACAUUAAAUUUGGGUAGACAUGUCAAUGAGUUUUAUUAAGAAUUGGUUUUAACAUUAAUAGUACACUAAUGUAAAGGUGAAAUUUGGCUUAUUUGGUACAAAAAUCAUACAGGAAGCACUGUCACAUGUGAAAUAGUGUUUGGCUUUCUUUGGGCUAUAUUUGUUUAAAUAUGUUGUUGGUAUGUGUUCCAAAAUUACGUAAAACUCCUCUAAUUCUAAUAGGACUUAGUGUAUGUUAUUAUAAUUGUUACAUAAAAUCAUAUGCCAGAAAGGUAACCAAAUUUCUUUGUCAAUCGUGUUUUUAACUGUGGCUGCCCUAAAAGAUUUUGUCAUUCACAGAAAAUUGUUAUGUUGUUUUGAUCCUCUUCAAAAGAUUGUUUCAUAAUCAGUGACAGGACUUUGAUAGUUGCUCUUAAAUGCAGGUUUCUGAUUACUUUGAAUAACUUUGGAAUAGAGAAAAAACAUUAAGGACUCUCAUGGAGAGCUGAAAUGUUUAUGACUAUCAAGCAGAAGAUGAGUUAACUGCAUGGACUAAACUAAUGUAAGAUUAAAGAAACUUUUUUGACAUUUUGCUUAAAAAUUGCUGAUCAUUUGCUUUGUUUUUCAGAGUCAAGGUAACUUCUUUUAACCUACUUGCAGCUUUUGACAAUUAAGUAAAGUAUACUCCUGUGAACAAAAUUUGAAACAUAUUUGUUUCUCUCUACCUAAUUUCUCCAGAAUUUGGAAACUAUUUGUGAGUAUUCUUUUUUUUUUUUUUUUUUCAGAUGGAGUCUUGCUCUGUCACCUAGGCUAGAGUGCAGUGGUGUGAUCUCACUUACUGCAACCUCCGCCUCCCUGGUUCAAGCAAUUCUCCUGCCUCAGCCUCCUGAGUAGCUGGGAUUACAGGUGUCCACCACCAUGCCGAGCUAAUUGUUGUAUUUUUAGUAGAGAUGGGGUUUCACCUUCUUGGCCAGGCUGGUCUCGAACUCCUGACCUUGUGAUUCACCCUCCUCAGCCUCCCAAAGUGCUGGGAUUACAGGAGUGAGCCACCACCCCCGGCUGGGUAUUCUUAAUUUAUGGUAAUACAGUUAUUUGCAUAAGUGCAAUAAGAAUCUGUUUCCUUUUGUAACAGGACACAAUUGGUGAAACUGGUUAUCAAGGCAUUGACCAGAAUGGUGUGCUUUCCUUUAAGGAAUUGAGCUUGACUUUAAAGCCAAUAAAAGCCUCUUGAG